AACGAACGCUGGCGGCAGGCCUAACACAUGCAAGUCGAGCGCCCAGCAAUGGGAGCGGCAGACGGGUGAGUAACACGUGGGAACCUUCCCUAUAGUACGGAAUAGCCCAGGGAAACUUGGAGUAAUACCGCAUACGCCCGAGAGGGGAAAGAUUUAUCGCUAUAGGAUGGGCCCGCGUAGGAUUAGCUAGUUGGUGAGGUAAUGGCUCACCAAGGCGACGAUCCUUAGCUGGUCUGAGAGGACGACCAGCCACACUGGGACUGAGACACGGCCCAGACUCCUACGGGAGGCAGCAGUGGGGAAUAUUGGACAAUGGGCGCAAGCCUGAUCCAGCCAUGCCGCGUGAGUGAUGAAGGCCUUAGGUUGUAAAGCUCUUUUGCCGGGGACGAUAAUGACGGUACCCGGAGAAUAAGUCCCGGCUAACUUCGUGCCAGCAGCCGCGGUAAU
Molecule: ribosomal RNA, 447 nt
Filed under: uncultured bacterium
Lineage: Bacteria
Description: bacterial SSU rRNA
Rfam family: Bacterial small subunit ribosomal RNA
Source: RNAcentral